Molecule: ribosomal RNA, 253 nt
Filed under: uncultured bacterium
Lineage: Bacteria
Description: partial 16S ribosomal RNA
Rfam family: Bacterial small subunit ribosomal RNA
Source: RNAcentral
UACGAAGGGGGCGAGCGUUGUUCGGAAUUACUGGGCGUAAAGGGCGCGUAGGCGGCGACCCAAGUCAGAUGUGAAAGUCCUGGGCUUAACCUGGGGACUGCAUUUGAUACUGGGUUGCUUGAAUUCGGGAGAGGAUAGCGGAAUUCCCAGUGUAGAGGUGUAAUUCGUAGAUAUUGGGAAGAACACCGGUGGCGAAGGCGGCUAUCUGGACCGACAUUGACGCUGAGGCGCGAAAGCGUGGGGAGCAAACAGG